RNAcentral lists this transfer RNA (75 nucleotides) under Candidatus Woesearchaeota archaeon. RNAcentral describes it as "tRNA-Ile". It matches the Rfam family "tRNA". From Rfam's summary of the family: Transfer RNA (tRNA) molecules are approximately 80 nucleotides in length. Their secondary structure includes four short double-helical elements and three loops (D, anti-codon, and T loops). Further hydrogen bonds mediate the characteristic L-shaped molecular structure. tRNAs have two regions of fundamental functional importance: the anti-codon, which is responsible for specific mRNA codon recognition, and the 3' end, to which the tRNAs corresponding amino acid is attached (by aminoacyl-tRNA synthetases). tRNAs cope with the degeneracy of the genetic code in two manners: having more than one tRNA (with a specific anti-codon) for a particular amino acid; and 'wobble' base-pairing, i.e. permitting non-standard base-pairing at the 3rd anti-codon position. Lineage: Archaea; Nanobdellati; Candidatus Woesearchaeota. The record is from RNAcentral.
GAGCCUGUAGCUUAGCCUGGCUGGAGCACCGGUCUUAUAAGCCGGAAGUCGUGGGUUCAAAUCCCAUCAGGCUCA